UACGUAGGCAGCGAGCGUUGUUCGGAAUCACUGGGCGUAAAGGGCGCGUAGGCGGCCGAUCAAGUCGGGGGUGAAAGCCUGUGGCUCAACCACAGAAUUGCCUUCGAUACUGUUUGGCUUGAGACCGGAAGAGGUUAGUGGAACUGCGAGUGUAGAGGUGAAAUUCGUAGAUAUUCGCAAGAACACCAGUGGCGAAGGCGGCUGACUGGUCCGGUUCUGACGCUGAGGCGCGAAAGCGUGGGGAGCAAACAGG
Molecule: ribosomal RNA, 253 nt
Filed under: uncultured bacterium
Lineage: Bacteria
Description: partial 16S ribosomal RNA
Rfam family: Bacterial small subunit ribosomal RNA
Source: RNAcentral